Molecule: small nuclear RNA, 22 nt
Filed under: Arabidopsis thaliana (thale cress)
Lineage: Eukaryota; Viridiplantae; Streptophyta; Magnoliopsida; Brassicales; Brassicaceae
Description: snRNA_06432
Source: RNAcentral
ACCAUCUUAGAAAUGAGAUACU